Apis dorsata (giant honeybee) is the source of this 776-nucleotide long non-coding RNA. RefSeq lists it as uncharacterized. The record is from RefSeq and is a predicted model, not a curated record. NCBI's taxonomy places the organism in Eukaryota, Metazoa, Arthropoda, Insecta, Hymenoptera, Apidae. The transcript has 3 exons.
GACGAUAAUACAUCGUCGGAUAAUCGAGAAAAUGAAAUGAAAAGGAAUACAUUUAAUUGGAAUCGCGAUAAUUUAUGUUGACGAAGCAAUUAUCAUAACGGAAGUUGUAUCGAGUUUUAUGUGUCGUUUCGUCAUAUACCAUGUUGUAUCUCUACGCUUUGCAGUAGCGCGAUAAAAUAUACAUGUAUCUGCAAUCGAUUUCAAUUUUAUAGGUUUUCGUAGAUUUCUUCGAAACGAGAAGAUGAAUAAUUUCGCGAGGUUAUGUAAAAAAAAAAAAAAUUGCUCGAUAUUGUGCAUCAUACGUUCGUAAGAAUGUAAAAACGGAAAUUAGUCCUUGAAAUUAGUUGAGAACGAUUAAACGAAACCGAAAUGGACGAACGGUAGAUUUCACGGUAGAUUUGCUUCGAUUUUUAUACGUAUGUUCAUUGCGUAUCUCUCUCUCUCUCUCUCUCUCUCCGACUUGCUGUUUGUUUCGCUGUCUUUGUUGAUAUUAUGCAAGGUGAGACAUCUUUCACAAAUAUUAACAUCGACCGAGAACGAAUUCGUGGUAUUUAGGUGUUUUUUAUCUAGAUAAGGUGUUAUCUAGACACGAGUGUAAUCGCUGCCCCUUAUCUUGAAAACCAUUUUUAGUCUUUGAUCGAGAAAGAUUUAUACGUUUCUUCGAGCAAUCGGAAGUGUUGUCGUUUAUCUUGCGUGUUUUCCUCGUGGAUACACGAUGAACGAUAAAAAACAAAGAAAGAAAGAAAGAAAGAAAGAAAGAAAGAAAGGUCAGAAAU